AUGUCUGGCCACGCAGUUCCUGGAUCUACUACUUCUCAAGGGAGCCGCCAUCGGUCUGGAGGUAGCAGAUGGGACAUUCCUCCAGCUGGGGGAUCUCGUGGUAUGCGUUCCCAUCCACACGGGGUUCUUCGCUAUCGUCCUGGUUCUUCCACUUGGAAGCGUGACAGCAGCACCAUUCAAAUGGGCAGUACCAAUAAUUUGACUAGAAUCAAAGGAAAGAAUUUGGGAAGCAUGGAUUUAGACACCAAUGUUGUAAAAGGCGGAUCAGCUAUGGCCUUUGGCCAAGAGGAGGGAGGAAAUUAUGAUCCAUGGCCCUUGCGAUCUCCUUUGCAGGCUGUUAGUACAAGUACAGUUAGUUCCCGUCAAGAAGCUUUCUCUCCUUCUGCCAUUGAUCGCCUCCACCACAUGGAUUUGGAUGUUGGUUAA
This 426-nucleotide ribosomal RNA is filed under the name Triticum aestivum (bread wheat). RNAcentral's name for it is "partial small subunit ribosomal RNA". Lineage: Eukaryota; Viridiplantae; Streptophyta; Magnoliopsida; Poales; Poaceae. The record is from RNAcentral.